AAGGCGAGGAAGCCAACAGGAUGAAGACUUAAGGACAAGGGGUCGGGAGCGCCAGGAGGCGAAGACCAGGAAACUGUCAGGAUGGCAGGCAAAAAGGAAAAAGGACCACGACACGGACUGUUAAAUGCUAAGGGAAAAACAGGGUACGUUGUUAGCAAACAAGGAAUGUCAUACCCAAUGAGGGUAGAGGGUCAGAAAAAAAGGCGACAGAUUGCUCUGUCGCCUUUUUUCUUUGCUUGCUU
This 242-nucleotide small RNA is filed under the name uncultured Phytobacter sp. The record is from RNAcentral. Lineage: Bacteria; Pseudomonadati; Pseudomonadota; Gammaproteobacteria; Enterobacterales; Enterobacteriaceae.